Molecule: unclassified non-coding RNA, 2777 nt
Filed under: Leishmania donovani
Lineage: Eukaryota; Euglenozoa; Kinetoplastea; Trypanosomatida; Trypanosomatidae
Description: gene:LdHU3.31.4870(CDS-product:hypothetical_prote in_conserved)
Source: RNAcentral
CCCAAACCGCACAUCGCACCCCCUACCGCUUGCACGCACCGUUUUGUUGUAAGGGGGGGGGACUUUUUCAGACCUCCACAAACAUGCACCGUGCGAGCGCUGCCCCGCCGUGCCUGCACACUUGCGUGCAGUGCACAUCGGCUGAUUCAUCAGCGGUGUUCGUUUCCUCGCCUGCGGAUGCGGCUGCUAUGCUGCUCUUCCUCCCGGGAGCAUGCUGCUCUCUUGGUGCAAUGGCCUCCUGCGCCCGCUGACCUUGCUGGGUGUGUGGCUUUUUGGGAACAACGAAGACGAGCUACUGAACCUCGAUGAGAGGGGCGAGCGACGCGUUGUCGUGUACGGCAGCGACGGCAGCCCUGUUUGCGCGAUUGGUACAGGACUUACGCGAAGGUGAAACGAUGAGGCCGGGUAUUUGGUCGAGCAAGGCAACGACGAGCGCACGAACCAGAGGCGAGCGGAGCCACAGCGCGCCUGGAACGACUGGAAAGGUGUCAGAGGCUAAUGAUGGCAGUGACGACGGAGGUCACCAAGGAGCAGCAGAGGUGAUGACAACGAAGUACUCAGCCAUGUCUACUCUCCAAGAAAUACUCUCCUACCGUGUCGAAGGGUCACCUCUCCCGCUCAUAGUGGCAGCAGCGGGCCCGCGGGCGCGACUCGCUGGUGAGCAAGUCGCAGUUCUCUUACUCCCUGGAGCGGCAACUUCCCUGCACGGUGACGCGGCGACGGGCCUCAGGACGACGCCUGCAACACAGCUGCGCCGUACUGUUGCGCCCUCGACAUCGCAUAAAACGCCUGCUUUUACUUGCAGCAGCGAUCCACUCAGCGGUCUCGCAGCAUCUGUCGUGGACGACAGCCAUCUGCACUACUGCCGCGUGGUGCGCGGGUCAUCGCUGGAGGGGGUUACUGCAGCCAUGUGCGAAGCUGCCCGGUGGUACGGCCGACCAGCAACGAGCACGCCGGCAGACCCGGCACUCGAAGCGAGUUACCACUUAGCCAAUGAAGACGAUGGCGAGGAGGCAGGUUCGGCCGUCAGUAGUGGGCGCCUGAAGAACGGCCACAUCGACGUUUUCGUUCCGUCUGGCUUGCCCUCCGCUGCCCACUACCAGAGCUUGUGCGUGCCUCUCUGCCUCGAGGUGGUUGCUCCGCGACUGAUUUUGCCGGCCGCCACGGCGCGGCAUACUUGCGCGGAUGGCGCAGCAGUAGUGAGACUGUGGCGCAAGGCCCAGUUAUCGGUGGGCGGCGUGCUCAGGGUAGGACGAAACAACGGUGGUGCGGCGACGAGUCGAUACCGGCGGAUCCUGCAGACGCACAACUUCAGGACACCGCGGCCGAAUUUGUGCCGCUGGUGGAUCAGCUGUGGCGCCUGCGCCGGUACGCGCUGGUGGAGCUGCUCAUCGAGGGCUACCCGCUUAUGGUGACGGAAUGGAUACUGUCACCGGAGCUUCGGCGUCCGGCUGAUGCGCAACGGACGGCAGAGAACCAAACAUACGCCACUGAGGCGAAGGGCACCGAGAUUGCCCGUGUGCGCUGGGCCCUUCGGUGCAUGUGCGUUUUGCGCUGCCUCGGUAAGGCAACUCAGGCGUCUGUGGUGACGGCUGGUGAGGCGGCAACGGCGGCAGGACGUGCAGCGCACUGGGGUAUCCCGUCGGCUGCCUCUGCAGUCCCUGGCCGUGGUCUUCGCCCCGCCUUUCCUGCCGCCGCCGCCGGCGUGGCUCUUUCACUCUCGCUGACCGCGGUGCGGCCUCACCUGCGGCUCCUGGAUCUCUCCAACACAACAACCCUCUCGUCGCUUGACGGGAUCGAGGUGUUGGUGGCGCUGGAGAAGAUCGAGCUCAUCCGCUGUUCUCAGCUCCACAGUCUGUCGCCGCUGGAAACUGCGUCGUCGUUGAAUGACACCGUCGCAUCACAGAGCUGCGUCCUCGACCUCAGUGGCGUGGUGCAGAGUCGCACACGUCUCUCUCGCUGUGUCUGUACGGGUGCUUGAACUUGACCGACGUUAGCGCUUGCGGUGCGAUUCCCAUGCUGCGGGACAUGCUCAUCUCAGAGAUCACCGUGAGGGUGUUUGAUGGGCUGCGUGAAAGCCGCAGCCUUGCCCGUUUGGGAAUGCGGUACGGCGAUGCGCCGCUGUUGAAGGCACGUUCGCUGGUGUCGAGUUUGACUGUCUUGCACGCCUUCAGCACCACACUCACUUCCGUUGUGGCCUUGCAGCACUGCACUGCGCUCGAGGUUGCGGAUGUGAGCGCGUGCGCUCCGCUGGCUGAUCUCGGGACACUAGACUUGGCGCCAUGCUUGCGUGAGGUCGACGCCGCUGGUAGCGGUGUACUGCACGUAUCUGGGCUGAGUCGCUCCUGCUCUCUGGAGAGGUUUCUCUUGGCUCAGUGCGUCCACCUCGACGAGGUCGGUCCUCUCGGCCAGUGCGUCGAUCUGCGCGAACUCCGCCCUCACUGGCGCUGGUGCUCAGCAGUUGGAAGGAUUGGCUCGCGCCCCCUCUUUGAAUCUCCUCGACAUCAGUUUCUGCCGCCAGCCGCCGAGUUUCAUAUCGUUGCUGGAUCUUCCGCGGCUACGCUAUUUGUGCAUAAGUGGCUGCACAGCGGCCCAGCGACAAACUGAGGAGGUGAUGGCAGUGGUGGCAGCGCUGACGUCCCGGCGCAAUGCAGUAUCAGUACUGCUUAGAUGAUUUGACUGGCUUUGUGGCUGUGUGCGUGGCUGUGUGCGUGCCUGUCUGUCUGUGUGUGUGGCGGACAGGUGAGGGCUGUGCUGCUUGAGCUCCGCUACAACGG